RNAcentral lists this ribosomal RNA (601 nucleotides) under Trichosporon japonicum. RNAcentral's name for it is "partial large subunit ribosomal RNA". It matches the Rfam family "Eukaryotic large subunit ribosomal RNA", at positions 53 to 643 of the family's 3401-position model. Lineage: Eukaryota; Fungi; Basidiomycota; Tremellomycetes; Trichosporonales; Trichosporonaceae. The record is from RNAcentral.
GAGGAAAAGAAACUAACAAGGAUUCCCCUAGUAACGGCGAGUGAAGCGGGAAGAGCUCAAAUUUGAAAUCUGGCAGUCUUCGAUUGUCCGAGUUGUAAUCUAUAGAGGCGUUUUCCGUGCCGGACCGUGUCCAAGUCUCCUGGAAAGGAGUAUCAAAGAGGGUGAUAAUCCCGUACUUAACACGACCACCGGUGCUCUGUGAUACGUCUUCUACGAGUCGAGUUGUUUGGGAAUGCAGCUCAAAAUGGGUGGUGAAUUCCAUCUAAAGCUAAAUAUUGGCGAGAGACCGAUAGCGAACAAGUACCGUGAGGGAAAGAUGAAAAGCACUUUGGAAAGAGAGUUAAACAGUACGUGAAAUUGUUGAAAGGGAAACGAUUGAAGUCAGUCGUGUUCUUUGGAUUCAGCCAGUUCUGCUGGUCUACUUCCUUGGAACGGGUCAACAUCAGUUUUGUCCGGUGGAUAAAGGUAGUAGGAAUGUGACUUCUCCGGAAGUGUUAUAGCCUAUUAUCACAUACACUGGGUGAGACUGAGGACUGCAGCUCGCCUUUAUGGCCGGUCUUCGGACACGUUCGAGCUUAGGAUGUUGACAUAAUGGCUUUAA